RNAcentral lists this non-coding RNA (920 nucleotides) under Heyndrickxia sporothermodurans. RNAcentral's name for it is "Bacillus sporothermodurans Bacterial large subunit ribosomal RNA". It matches the Rfam family "Bacterial large subunit ribosomal RNA", at positions 310 to 1210 of the family's 2925-position model. The record is from Rfam by way of RNAcentral. Lineage: Bacteria; Bacillati; Bacillota; Bacilli; Caryophanales; Bacillaceae.
GGAGUUACAAAGGAACGAAGUAAAUGAAGAGGUCUGGAAAGGCCCGUCAAAGAAGGUAACAACCCUGUAGUUGAAACUUCGUUCCCUCCAGAGUGGAUCCUGAGUACGGCGGGACACGUGAAAUCCCGUCGGAAGCAGGGAGGACCAUCUCCCAAGGCUAAAUACUCCCUAGUGACCGAUAGUGAACCAGUACCGUGAGGGAAAGGUGAAAAGCACCCCGGGAGGGGAGUGAAAGAGAACCUGAAACCGUGUGCCUACAAGUAGUUAGAGCUCUGUGCGUAUUUCCUUCGGAAAGACGCCGAGUGAUAGCGUGCCUUUUGUAGAAUGAACCGGCGAGUUACGAUUUCAAGCAAGGUUAAGCUGAAGAGGCGGAGCCGCAGCGAAAGCGAGUCUUAAUAGGGCGAAUGAGUUUGAGGUCGUAGACCCGAAACCAGGUGAUCUACCCAUGUCCAGGGUGAAGGUAAGGUAACACUUACUGGAGGCCCGAACCCACGCACGUUGAAAAGUGCGGGGAUGAGGUGUGGGUAGCGGAGAAAUUCCAAUCGAACUUGGAGAUAGCUGGUUCUCUCCGAAAUAGCUUUAGGGCUAGCCUUAAGGUAAGAGUCUUGGAGGUAGAGCACUGUUUGGACUAGGGGCCCUCAUCGGGUUACCGAAUUCAGACAAACUCCGAAUGCCAAUGACUUAUCCUUAGGAGUCAGACUGCGAGUGAUAAGAUCCGUAGUCAAAAGGGAAACAGCCCAGACCACCAGCUAAGGUCCCAAAGUAUACGUUAAGUGGAAAAGGAUGUGGAGUUGCUUAGACAACCAGGAUGUUGGCUUAGAAGCAGCCACCAUUUAAAGAGUGCGUAAUAGCUCACUGGUCGAGUGACUCUGCGCCGAAAAUGUACCGGGGCUAAACGUAUCACCGAAGCUGUGGAUGGA